UACAGAGGUGGCUAGCGUUGUUCGGAAUCACUGGGCUUAAAGCGUGUGUAGGCCGGUCAGAAAGUGUCUUGUGAAAUCCCCCGCCUCAAUCGGGGAACUGCUUGGCAAACUACUGACCUUGAGGCAAACAGGGGUGCCUGGAACUCUUGGUGGAGCGGUGAAAUGCGUAGAUAUCAAGAGGAACGCCUGUGGUGAAAACGGGGCACUGGGUUUGUACUGACGCUGAGACACGAAAGCGUGGGGAG
This 245-nucleotide ribosomal RNA is filed under the name uncultured bacterium. Its description in RNAcentral is "partial 16S ribosomal RNA". It matches the Rfam family "Bacterial small subunit ribosomal RNA", at positions 524 to 768 of the family's 1533-position model. The record is from RNAcentral.